GUGUUUUUGAGGUUCAGAGGUAGAAAUAGUUGGGUGGCACAGUGCACUAGUACAGUAAGUUUCAUAAAAGUCCCUCAAACAUACAGCAAGAGUUACAUAAUUUUAACAAAUCCAUCCCAAAUUUUAAGCACACAGUAAUAGAUGACCCAAUCAGGGUUCCUAAAUUCCCCAUAUCAGUCCAUCAGGGGGAAGGGAUGAAGCUUCAUUCAAAACUGCUUCAGGUUGAGCACUUGCGGGAGACUCUCAGUCCAUGCAGAGAAUAUACAUGGUGUGGCCUGGCAUGCUGGCAAGCUGAUUUAGGUCCCAGAAGCAAGUCAAUACCUGUAAUUUGACCAAAAUCUAGAACAAAAAACACAAAUCUAACAAAUAAAGGUUAGAACAGGCAAAGGUGAAGAAGUCAGUAUGAAUUGGCCAGCAGCUUAAUAAGUUUUCUUCACAGGCAGGCAAACAGCUGUCAACUAUAAUCCCAAUAGAGAAAACAGCAAUUAGGCUUUUGUCCUUUCAUUAGUUAGGAACCUUUAAAAAAAACUUGGAUAUCCAGACACAAUAUCCAGUAACAGAUAGAUGAUCAGAUUAAAUACUUAUUUGCUCAAGUAUUUAGGAUAUAAUGAUUACAUAUAACCAGGAUGGAAACAGCAAGGUAUGACAUAAUUGAAUUGCAUUUACAGUUUCUUAUUGACCAUUACUCUGAUUAUAGAAAUUAGUUACAGGAGGAAAAAAUGCAGGGACAUAACUAUAACAUAAGCAGCUAAAACUUAACUUUCAGCAAAACAGGAUAAAAUAACUUUAAUUCAUUUUACUCCAGUUAAUUGUCCCACUGACUGUCAGACGGUGGAGCUUUAAAACUCUCAAAUAGCAUUAACCAUAAGCCCAAGGAAUUUUACUUCCAAUAACAAAUUUCAUUAACUAAAGUUUCAGAUAAAUCCUAAACAGAUAUUUACCAUAAUCUUAUUUUUAUAACAGUCAGAAUUUGUCUCAGUAAGUUCACUUCUUUCAUAUCUAAGCAGACAGCUUCAUAAGUGAGCAUCAUACAUACAAAUCAUUUUGCUUUAAAAUACCCAAUACAUAGACAAAUAUUCCAAAUUAUAUAUUGUCCAUAACAAAAACAUUUUCAAAAGGACAAGGAAAAACUAGUAUUUUCAAAAGCCCUUUAAAUGAUGGGCAUAACCUCAGGAUACAAUCAAUUAAAUUUAUACAGAAUAUCCAAUUCCACAUAAAAGAAUCUGAAAGAUUGUUAAAAAUAUAUUUUGAACUUUUAGAAAUAGCCCUACCAAAUUAUAGAUCAAUUAAUUUAAAAGCAGGCCUAUCUCUUGAAAUCAUUUGCCAAAGCCAAGCCUCUGCAGAAAGUGGCUGGAACACAUUUAAUGGGGGGAAGGGGAAUCCACGUGGCCACCCUUCCAUCUUCAAAGAGGCAAGGGGGAGAGAAGGCGAGCUAAACUGCACCCCAGGCUAACUAGGUGCUCCAUAGCUGAAGUAACAGAGAGCACUGGGGGUGAGUUUAAUCUUGACCUUUGAAGACAAAAAGAUCCCUACUCCACCUAAGCUUUAAAGUAGC
Molecule: long non-coding RNA, 1555 nt
Organism: Sarcophilus harrisii (Tasmanian devil)
Lineage: Eukaryota; Metazoa; Chordata; Mammalia; Dasyuromorphia; Dasyuridae
Source: Ensembl